This 2820-nucleotide long non-coding RNA is filed under the name Pan troglodytes (chimpanzee). RNAcentral describes it as "long non-coding RNA NONPTRT001808". The record is from RNAcentral. Lineage: Eukaryota; Metazoa; Chordata; Mammalia; Primates; Hominidae.
UUAAAAGUCCUUUUAAUACAGCAUGAAGAGGCUAUAUUUCUAUAGGCGAGCUGUAUACAGAUUCUCCAGGAAUAAGGCACACAACGGAAUGCCAUCCCAAGGGCUGCACUUCGGAGACGUCGGAGCCUUCUCCACGCACCUUCCGAGCUGGGCCCACGGGUUCUGUUUUGUCUUUUUAGCUGGACUCACACGUAUGGACAGACACAGACACGGACGGGGUCACCGCAUGGGGGCGGAGGAGGUCGGACAGCAAGGUUGGCAACAGAGAAGGAUAAGCCCGCUGCCACAGCCCCCAGGGGACCGCUUGGCCAUCUCGCUGAAGGCUGGAACACCCCCAUUUCAGGGUUAGUCGUUGGACUGAGCUACAAUGUAGUGAGGUUGGAUUAAAUAUUCGUUUAGAGUAGAUUCAAGUCUAUUAGAUGCUGGAGGGCUGGUGUAAGGGCUCCGGUUGACAUUUCCAAGUUCAAGGAGCAUGGCCUGGAGGAGGCGUGGCUCAGAUGGCAAAGCUCCCGAGCGGCGAGGCCAGGCUUUGCCCCACUUCUUCUGCCCUCCUGGGGCCCUGCUGAUUGAGAGCCCUCCCACCAAGCCAAGACGCUGGUGGACCACAGAGGGGCUGGUUAGUCAAACAAGCUGCUUCUUCCCCUUGCCCACUCCCUGCCCCUCUACAAAAUUAAUAAAACCGUAAUAACAAGAUAAUAAGAAGAAGGUGCAAGAGAAUGGAUUACAAUGCUGUUUGUUAUCCUCAGUGGAAGAGGCACAAAGGGGUCACCAUUCCCUUUUUCACUAUGUAUCGAAUUAUAGCUUCCCUUAAAAAAGGCAAUACUUUCCAAAAUACACAUAUGUAUAAAUACAGGACAAGAACAUAUUAAUAAGUCUAAACACUUGAAUAAUAUGCUGUCUACUUAAUACUGAUAUUUUCAUCCAGGAAAAACAACACAGAAAAACAACAAUAUGGCUUAAAGAAUUGCAAAGAUUUUUUUUCCUCAUCAGAAUUAUGUACCAACUUCAUAUAAUAUUCUAUGUAGACAAUAUUUCCUUCUGAAUGUAGUUCAGUUGCAUAUUUUUACAGACCAAAGCAUAGUAAAAAACAAACAAAAACCAACCAAAAACCCAAUAACGGGAAACAGAAAAGUUCUCACCAUAAAUAUUUUCUUGCAGCUCAACCAGAAGGUUGGCAAAAUACUUCCAGAAAUCUUUGUUUGAUAUUCUCUUGCCCUCCUGAAAGUUCUGAAGUUUUGAAAAUGCCUCUCUUUUUGUUUGUUUUAAUCUCAAAAAUCAAACAAUUAUAUUUUUAUUUUCUUUUUCUUUUCUUUUCUUUUCUUUUUUUUUUUUAAAAAAAGGCCCUCAAAUAUAUACAGACAAAAAAUUACUGUGAAGAUUUUUUCGGGAAAAGCUACCAAAUUCAGUGUUGUGAGAAAAACUGGUAACCAUGCAGAAAUUUUAACAUCUAUGAAUUUUUUUUCCAAAAUACACACAUAUUUUUUUAAAAAAGGAAUUCUGUGUCAAGUAUAACUCAAAAUAAAUACAAAUUCACAAGUAGAACUAUUGAAUACUUCAUAUGGGGUAAACACCAUUAUCUCCCAACUAGAUCGCUAGAUCUACCAACUGCAAGCGAUUGUCCCUUUUGAACGUACUAAAACCACACACUUUCCCGUCCCCUGGGCUCCUGGCCCUCUGAGCACUUAAUUCUCAAUGGCACCUGGCCUGCAUGGCAGGGGCUUUGCUGACCACAAGAGAGUUCCCCAGUUCAGCCAGAGCCGAGUCAAGGGGAGUAUGGAGGGUGGGCCUCAAAGCGGGAACCCCAGCCCCCAAGGUGGCUGGCUCUGCACAGAUGGCAGGGCAGUGGCUACCUGCUGAACAGCUCACUGGCAAGGUCACUUUGGGGUGAUAUCCCAACUCCCCUUAGCCCGUGCAGGGAAGCCCUGGCCUCCAGUGGUCUGGGGCCUGGGUUAGUUUUAGGGUGUGGGCCCCCCCACCUUUGCAGCACAGCUGGCAGGCCCCAGGCAUCCUUGGGCCAAGGUCCCCCACGGCCGGGUCCCUGGAAGGGUUGGCACAGGCACGCCGCCCACCACUGCGAACAUUCUCUUUAGCAGUGCGGUAGGAUGACUGUCAGUGGCAGCUUCUCCUUGGGACAGAAGCCUGGGCCGGGGCCAACUCCAGCUCACCUCAACACCUUGGAGAAGACGGGGAACAACGUGCUCGGGGAGUCCUCAGUGGCAGUCCCCAGUGGUGGUAAGGGUGUCCACAGCCUGCUGCCUGGCCUGGAGCAAAUACCUUUUUUAAGCGUUCAGAGGGUAUGGCCCCUCAAAUCCACCCUGCAGCUCCCUGGCUGCAAAUACACUCACUCCAUCUUUUCAACUCGCUCCCUGGACCCCUGGUUAACACUUCACCGUAACUCCUCAGUUGUACAAAGCAUUUUCAUUUGAAUACAAAAGGCAACUGGACACCAGAUGGGCAUCCUUGAGCCAUGGUAAACACUGAAUUUCAGGCCCAUUUCUUGGUCUGAUUUUUUUUUUCCCACAGAGGCAUAAUGUAGGGGCAAAAUCAAGAGACCCAGUUCUGACAGCCGGGAGAAAGGAAGGGUCAAGACCAUGGAAACGGGGCUUCUCAUCCGGGAGACAGAGGAGCGCACGAUCCCGCCGCCAGCCAGGACAGUGGGCUCCCUGGCCAGGGACGUGCCACGAGGCCUCUCUGCUCCCUUGGGAGGGGACUGGGAGGAUCCAGAGAGACGUCUGGGAGUGUGUCAACUGGACAGCGGAAGGCACAGACGAGCACAUUUCUAUUAGAGAGGGAGCUUCCCUGCUCGCUCUUUUCCUCCCC